UAAUACAAAGGGUGCUGUGUAGAUAUGGA
RNAcentral lists this non-coding RNA (29 nucleotides) under Rattus norvegicus (Norway rat). The record is from RNAcentral. Lineage: Eukaryota; Metazoa; Chordata; Mammalia; Rodentia; Muridae.